UUGCAAGAUAGAGGUGCGAUACUUAUCAGUACUAUUAAGGAGCUAAGCACAAUGAUUUAAUAGGAAAGGAUUUAUCGCCGAAGUAAAUAGCCUAUGCUUUACAGCUAUUUACUGGGGAUCCAUAUAAUAUAUGUAUUCCUGUCACAUUUUUGUGGAGAGCUAUCAUUUAA
This is a non-coding RNA of Clostridium sp. CAG:221, 170 nucleotides long. The record is from Rfam. Lineage: Bacteria; Bacillati; Bacillota; Clostridia; Eubacteriales; Clostridiaceae.